CCCAUAACUUUUUUAUUUUGUGUUUUUAAUAAACACUUGCAUAGUUGUAUUACAAUUUUGUAAAAAUGAAACACAUUAUCUCAUGUCAAGCAUGCCCAGCAUUUGCACAGUAUCAAUACCUUUAAUACUAUAGUUUUCAAGAAACACAAAAUAAAAUUUUAAGGCAAAAACAACACUUAGAAACAAUUUAAUGAUUUAUUACAUUACAGUGGCAUCACACCAGCAGUCAAUAAGGCCACUCUAGGGAAAAAUCUUUCAGUAUUUCCAUUACACAUUCUGUUUACAAGAAUUCACAAACUGGUAAAAUUCAUUCUAACAAAACUUGGCAAAUAAAGCUUUGGACUGGAAUUGGCAUUUCUUUCUCUGCUUUUCCUUCCCACUGUUUCUUUCUUUUAUACUAUAGUAUUCAUAUUUUAAAAUGUUUUAACUUAUUUCAGAACAUUAAGAUAGCAGUUACAUUUUUAAUAGUUAUAUUAUUUUAAAAUGACUCUAAGAUAAAGUUUUAGAGAAACUAUAUUAUGGAUAGGGCUGAUUUACAUUUUCAAAUUUUCUAAAAUCAGCUUUCGUUUUAGAGCUGAUUUUUUUUUCAUUUCUGGAAAAUUAUCAGGUUUAAUCAAAUACUUUUAAAAUGAUUAUUAUAUAUUGCCAUCUUUAAAUAGGUGUUUUGAUUCUUCCUACAGAAAUUAAAAUGUAUUCAGUGGAACUCACAUUUUAAAAUUCUAUGUUUCUGAUGAACUCUAACAUUCCAAUGUUGCCUUCUAAGCAAACUGAAAGCUGCCUUAUACCGAAUGAGGAAGAGCACAAAUACUCGGCUGAAUGAGGUAUCGCAAAAGACUGCAUGCACUUUGGAGAAAGACUUAAGUUAUUGUCAUACAAUUUCCAUUCCUUUUAGCUUUUUCUUAAAUAUAUGACAAAUACCUACACAAAGAGUGGUAUUUCAGUCAAUAUAGUAAAUUUAUUUUCCAGACUGACCUUCAGCUUAAAUAUGCCAGUGUGUGAUUUAAUCCAUAGGCACCUCAUGAACACAUUAUUGUCAGAUUGGUUACAGAUGCUAAACGCUAUCCGAAGGUCAUUCCUAGUCACUGAUAUUUAUCAGGGUAAAAGUGAAGUGAUUUCAACGAUAAAAGUACCUUUGAAAUAAUUUAUCAAUGUAUUAGAUAAAAUUUGGAAGAGUCAGUUGAAGUCACAAGGACCGAAUAUUUGCACUCUUUCAGUGAAUGCCAGCAAAUCUGUUAUUCCAUCGGUAAAAUCGUAUUGUUGCUCUCCUGUUAAUGUCAUAUUUAUAGAAGUAUCAUGAGGAUGCCAAAUGCUAAAAAUGGAGAUGAUCUAGUAACUAGAAAUCCCCACCGCAGGGAGCACACACACCUAUCUCCCUGCAUCCUAACAAUGUGAUGUGUUUUGGAACACAGACAUUAGAACUUCAUGAAGUUUUAACUGUUGAGUCUUUCCCAAGCAUCAUCAAGUUACGAUUUAGGCAAUACAUAACUGAAAUGCAUUCAUUCAUCAUGCAUAGGCACAAUCACAUAAAUAUUGCACAAAAUAUGUCCCGAACAGAAACCCAGAGAUACAAAAACAUAUUUCACUUUGUAAAGAAGUCUGUGAGAAAAUAUAACUCUGUGAUUGUAUAGGCACGUUUCCUGAUAAUACAUUGACAUUCACGAACAGUAGAUUGCACUGCAGUUUGUACACAUUUUAAGUUUCAUAAACUUCUCCUUGAUUUUCAAAGAUAGUAUAAUACCGUCUACUAAAACUCCCUUUUGUUUCAACUAAGUAUCUCACAUAUAUUAGUUUAUAAUAAUGUUUCUAUUAUUUUUUAAAGUGUUUUCCAUUCAAGGAAAAAGAAGUAAAUUCCUAUGUCAGAGUAACCAAGGUGGUUGAAGAAUAGGUAUUAGCCAAAGAGGUCUAGAUGGUAAAAUCAAUCUUCAAGCCUCAAAGAAUCUCCGUGAACAGAGAGGAAUGCCAGGUGUCACACAGCUUUCCUUCACUCUAAUUCAUUCUUGACUAGAGCCUGUAUGCCUGUUCCAGGGACAUUUGAACUCGUAAAGGAUUUCUUAUGAUCUUUACUAAAUACAUUAAGAAGAAUGCCAACCAGUGCCCUUUUGUGUACUGGGACAUGUAGUCAUGUGAUUAAAACAGGUAACAUGAACUCUGAGUUUAAAAUGUAUUGUAGAUACAAAUGCUCUAAGCUAGGAAAGGUUUUCCACAUCCACAGUCAACGAUGGGAACCUUUCAUUCCUCAGAAAUAAGCCCUUUUUAGGUCAUUGAAAAAGAGUACAACUGCUGCAGCUCAUGAUGCAGUAUCUUCAUGAGCCCAGAGCACAUACAAAUCCUAAGGGAACCACCAUAAUACACUGCUAAUUCCUGGCACCGGAACAGAUGAAACACACUCUAUCCUGGACAUACCUGCCAGAGGAGGCCACUUUCCUCUUCUGUGAGAUUUAAAAAGCUCCCUCAAAAGGUUUCACUCCCAUCACCAAUACACAGAAAAUGGAGGAAAGGCUGUUUCCAGUUCUUGGCCUUUAAACAACUCUAAAUGUCAGUACUCAUAGUGGCAUAUUACAAAGUAAUAAACAGUGCACGCUUGGGGGCAAACUACAUAUUGAGCUAACGAAGAGCUCACUGUGAUUAAGAUUAGAUCAAACAACAGCAGAACAUAGGCAAAUUUUGUCUGAAUUCUGUAGUGAAUAUACAUGCUGCAAUAACAUUAAAAAAGCAUGGCAGCCUAUUCCAAACCAGCGAGAACAGUUUUGGGCAAAGAGUGGGUCUUUGUGUGUUUGAACCCCCACCACGUAAGGGCAAACUCGAUAUGCAUGCUAAUGACCUACAAUUAUGAAAUUAAAAAAGAAAAAUGCUAAAGGAUGCCAGAGUGAACAUCAGUGAGAGCCACAGACACCCACUCUCUUUUAACUUUUUACAAAUAAACUUAAAACUAUAAAUUAGAAACACAAAUAAUCAUGAGUGACUCUAACAUUCAAAGGAAGUAAAUGAAUUGUGUAGGAGAUUAACCCCAUAACUUGGUUUCUUAUUUAAAAAUUUCUUGAGCAGCUCUUUGAUGAUGGUGAUGUUUAUCUCCUUCUUCUUGGCAGCCAAGCCCAGCAAAAGAAUGGCACACAGCAGUUGUUGCCCAAGCCUGGGUGCUCCUGGUGGUCCUGCACGAUCGGCUGUGCAGUAGGCUUGUCAAGGAGAGGAUCCUCCCUGGCCUCUCCUUGGGCAGAGGAGGUGAGGCUCACCUCACAAAGAUCUUUGGAGAGAGGGAGGCAGGGAUCUGAGCACAGUGGGAGCCCCCUCUUCCUGCCUGCCCACCCCACCUGAGGGCUCUACUCACCACCAUGCUUGUCUGCAGCCCCAAGCUCCUGGGGGGCUGGGGCUCCUGGACCGGGCUCAUCAGCAG
Molecule: long non-coding RNA, 3391 nt
Filed under: Homo sapiens (human)
Lineage: Eukaryota; Metazoa; Chordata; Mammalia; Primates; Hominidae
Description: HSALNT0379816
Source: RNAcentral